Molecule: long non-coding RNA, 139 nt
Organism: Nicotiana attenuata
Lineage: Eukaryota; Viridiplantae; Streptophyta; Magnoliopsida; Solanales; Solanaceae
Exons: 2
Source: RefSeq, a predicted model, not a curated record
GCUAUUGGGGAGUGCUUUCAUGGAAGGUGGCCCUGAUCGAAAAAUUAGGCUCGAUCGAAGUCCUGGGGUUGAUGAGCUUUACAUUGAAGGGUAUCUGCAAGCCAUGUUAGAUACAUUGUAUAAGCAAGAAUACCUGACA